Long non-coding RNA from Malurus melanocephalus (red-backed fairy wren), 373 nucleotides. RefSeq lists it as uncharacterized. NCBI's taxonomy places the organism in Eukaryota, Metazoa, Chordata, Aves, Passeriformes, Maluridae. The transcript is spliced from 2 exons. The record is from RefSeq and is a predicted model, not a curated record.
AGGUGGACCAAAACAGCAGGAAGUGCCUCUGACCGAUUCCAAGAUUCCAGUGUCUUCAACGAAACCCUGAGGAUCUCCAACAUCCAGAGACACCAGGGAGGCCGCUACUACUGCAAGGCUGAGAACGGCCUGGGCUCUCCGGCCAUCAAAUCCAUCCGCGUGGACGUGUACUAUUUGGACGAUCCCAUCGUCACCAUCCACCAGAGCAUCGGGGAAGCCAAGGAGCAGUUUUACUAUGAGAAGACGGUGUUCCUCAGGUGCGUGGCCAACUCCAACCCGCCCGUGCGCUACAGCUGGCGCCGCGGCCAGGAGGUGCUGCUGCAGGGCUCCGACAAGGGAGUGGAGAUCUACGAGCCCUUCUUUACCCAGGUAG